Molecule: long non-coding RNA, 6068 nt
Filed under: Oryza sativa (Asian cultivated rice)
Lineage: Eukaryota; Viridiplantae; Streptophyta; Magnoliopsida; Poales; Poaceae
Description: long non-coding RNA (OSAT_LNC000394)
Rfam family: MIR812 microRNA precursor family (bases 4211-4421)
Source: RNAcentral
CAGGACGCGUACUGCAUCUUCGACAGCCAGGUGCUCAACGCCUUCGUCUCCUCCUUCUACCUCUCCACCAUGGUCGCCAGCCUUGUCGCCGGCCACCUAACCAAGACGCUGGGGAGGAGGAACUCGCUGCUGAUCGCCGGCGUGCUCUUCUUCGCCGGCACCCUCCUCAACCUGGCCGCCGUGAACAUCAGCAUGCUCAUCAUCGGCCGCAUCCUCCUCGGCGUCGCCGUCGGCUUCAGUAGCUUGGUGAUCGAUCGCUACCAGCCAAUUAAUACAUUCGUGCAUACAUACAUUUAUUUAUUUGUAGGUUAAUUUUAUCAUCCUUAAAAUAUCUCGGGAGGUAGCAUAUUUUUUAUUGUAAAAUUUGAUACCUCUAAGUAAAGUAUCUCGAGAUACUAAAAAUUUUAAUUUAUAAUUUAGGUAUCUCUCGAACUAAUUUUUUAAGUAAAGUAAAUUUUUUCUUAUUUGUAGGACGUGAAGUUUUCAUGCGUUCAUUGCAUGUGUUUGCAUUGUUGCUUUGGUCGCAGGCUGCACCGGUGUACCUAGCGGAGAUAGCGCCGGCGCGGUGGCGCGGCGCGUUCACGGCCUCCAUAGGCCUCUUCGGCAACUUGGGUUUCUUGAUGGCUGACAUGAUCAACUACCGCGCCACUACCAUGGCGAGGUGGGGUUGGCGCCUCUCUCUCGGCGCCGGCAUCGUCCCGGCCGUCAUCGUCAUCGUGGGCGCCGCGUUCAUCCCGGACACGCCCAACAGCCUCGCGCUGCGCGGGAGGCUCGACGAGGCCCGAGACUCGCUGCGGCGCAUCCGCGGGGCCGCCGAUGUGGACGCCGAGCUCAAGGACAUCGUCCGCGCUGCCGAGGAGGACCGGAGGUACAAGUCGGGCGCGCUGCGGCGGCUUCUCCGUCGCGAGUACCGGCCGCACCUGGUGAUGGCCGUGCUAAUCAUGGUGUUCUUCGAGAUGACGGGAGCCAUCGUGGUGGCCAUCUUCACGCCGCUCCUCUUCUACACCGUCGGGUUCACGAGCCAGAAGGCCAUCCUCGGGUCCAUCAUCACCGACGUCGUCAGCAUCGUCUCCGUCGCUGCCGCCGCGGCCGUGGUCGACCGCCACGGGCGGCGUAGACUCUUCAUGGUGGGCGGUGCCGUACUGAUCCUGUGCCAGGUGGCCAUGGCGUGGAUCUUCGGCGCGCAGCUGGGCGCUGACGGUGGGAGGGCGAUGCCGCGGGGGUACGCCGUCGCGGUGGUGGCGCUCGUGUGCACGUACACGGCGGGGCUAAGCGUGUCGUGGGGCUCGCUGUCGUCGGUGGUCACCAGCGAGAUCUUCCCGCUGGAGGUGAGGUCGGCGGCGCUGGGGCUGGGCGGCACCAUCUCGUCGGCGCUCACGUUCAUGCAGUCGCAGUCAUUCUUGGAGAUGCUGUGCAGCUUCAAGUACGGCGCCUUCGCCUACUACGCCGGAUGGUUGGUGAUGAUGACGGCGUUCGUGGCGGCGUUCCUGCCGGAGACGAAGGGGGUGCCGAUCGAGUCCAUGGGCGCGGUGUGGGCGCAGCAUUGGUACUGGAAGCGCUUUGUCAAGCUGGCACCGGCCAAGCAGGCCGAUGGGCCAGAAUGAUGAAAAGUAUUUUCUACACCUAGAUGUGUAUGCACAUAGUUUAAACCAUAAGCGUUACAAGCAUGUUUGUCCGAAACGUAGUGGUUAUCCGAAACCAUAAGCGUUACAAGCAUAUUUAACGUUAAUUUGGAUCUGUAAAUGUAGGAAUAAGUUCAUUUUACGUCCCUCAUUGUGAUGUUGACUUUGAAAUUCGGUCUCUCAGUAUGCCAAACCGGUGUACCCAAGGUUCCAGGGAAGUAUAGUGCUCGAUUUCGGCUAACGUGGUGCCUGGGUUAGUGUGAGACCCACAUGUCUAGGCGAUUCGGUCUAAAUAAAAAAAUGGUAGACCCCACAUAUCAGUGAAAUAUUCUCUCCUCCCUCUCUCUCUCUUUGUUUGCCUCUACCUUUUUCUCAGCGGCGUCAUGGCCGUCAACUCCCCACCACGCUAGCCAUGAUGUUCCUCUCAGCACUGUCGCCGAUGCAAGCCCACCCUCAACCCGUGCUCUCCCCCUCUUCCUCCUCUUAGGAGGUCUUGUAUUUAUACCCUUGGGUGCUCACUUAUCUAAGUAAAAUUAAGGAUGCAAGUAUGGAUACGAUCCGAAUAGUAUUUAUAGUGUCUGAGUAUAGAACUUCGCUUCUCCUUUCUUAUCCGAAACACCUUUCAUAUAUAAGGCAUUAUUCCGUAUAAGACUUGGCAUAUGGUGAGUCCGCGGAACCUAAAAGUAAUAUGUAUGUCUUAUCUAUAACACUGAAACUUUUAUGGAAAAAUAAUAAUCUCUAUAUAUGGUUUACCUCAAAUAAAAAAAACAUGUAUUUACUUGCGGCUCUACACUUUAUCUAUGAAGAUAUUUCUUUUAACACACAUAUAUGUAUUUUUUUCUAGCUUAUUUACUUCUACCAUUUAAGUAAAUUACUUUUAUAUAUUUAAAUAUAUUUAAUAUUAUACUCAUUUCAUUAUAUAUUUGAGUGGAAUUUAAUGGUUAAAACAGAUCUUACAACUACUACAUUGUUUGAAAUAUAUAAUUCAAUAAAUAUUAAAAAUAGACUAACUCAUAUGAGACUCUCAGGCCAAAAGCAUGGAGAUAUAUAAUUUUUAAAGUACGCAUGCAUACACGUGAUCGAAUGGAUCACAUGAUGGUUUUAAUCGAAUGGAUCGGUAGGUAUCAUGCUGUAAGACUAAUCUAUGCGUGCGCACGGAUUAGAUUUUACGAUUAUACUAUGGCUCUUAAAGUCAUAAUUGCUAUAAAUUGAGGUUGCUCCACCCUAUCAAUAUCACUAUUGGUUUUGUGCAUGAAUUAAUUACAAUCUUCCAUUGGAUGAAAGUGAGAGAAAGAAAAAUCCUAUCGUUGUGUCUGUUUGGACCACAAGCGUAUGACGAUUUUUUUUUGUAGGAGAACUGGAAAACCAAGUGUGCCGUACUCUAUAAAUAGUCUUUGAUCAGUGUGGCGCAUCGUUUAUCAUCCAAAGAUACAACGACCGUGUCUUCUCGAGCUCUCUCCCUGACAGAAGUAGCUAGCUAGGUAUGGCUGGAGGUGGAUCGAUUGCCAACGAUGGUGAAGCAGCCGCCGGCGGCAACGGCGGCGGUGACGAGGUGACAUUUACAGUUGUUAUGAGCUGCCUCACGGCGGGCGCCGUCGGGCUCUUACUUGGGUACGACAUCGGUGUUACAGGUCAGUGGCUAGUAAACUGAAAAUCUGAAUAUGCCUUCAGAGCUUUUGACUCUGCAUGUUUAAUUCCCGUACAUGGCACGGUUUAUGCUUCUCUGUUUCUUUCUUCUCUUAAGGUUACAGAAGAUUUAUCUUUAUUACCGUAGGGCUUUCAAAAAAAUAUCUUAAUUACCGUAUGUUUAUGAUCCAUUUAUUACUCGGAUUAAAGUAAGAAAAGCAAUACAUAGUUUGUUCUGAAAGUUCAGGGAUUCUGCACAUUUUCUACUCAGGAGAUCUGGUUAUCAGCAAAGGAAAUAACAAGAGUGUACCACGCAGCUAGAGUUUCAAAGCAGUUGCUUUUCAUCAUAAUAUACUCUUUUUUUUCUAAAAUCUAGCAAUCUAGAUAUAUCCAGAUUUCUAGUAGUAUGAUGUGUUAAAUUCGGUUUUGUAUUGCUAUAUUUUAGGACAGAUGAAUGGAGAGUAGUAAGGUUAUGCACAUAGUGAUUAUGCAUAAAAUCCCGUGCAUAAAUUAGGCAUAUGCUCUUAUAUUAAUGUAAAUAUAUAACAUGGACUCUUUAUAAUGUUUGUUUAGUUGUUUUUAUUUUGAAUUUCAGUUAUUUUCUAUAUUGUAUUUUACUUCAACCGUCACUAUAUGAACACACAGCUCAAUUUAAUAUCACUUUUUCUCGGAAAAAAAAACCUUACAAAUUUAUAUGCCUUCUCACGAUCUCAUUGAUUCAUUGCUUAUCUGAACAGUUAGCUAGUAGUAGCAACUACUAUUAUUGAUGAAAAGUACACGACAAGAUAAGAUUACCUUCUCUUCCAAAAAAUUAUAUAAGAUACCUUUUUUGAAAAAAAAAUGGAUCCGAUAUUUGUUUACACUCCAAUUUUCUUUUCUGUUAGUCAACACUACAGUCUCAAGACUCAAGAUGAUGCAUGCAUGUCAGUUGACGUGGAUAUAUCAUACUACAUCUGUCCCAAAAUAAGUACACCCAUGGAUAUCUGUGUUCAAUGUUUGGCCGUCCAUCUUAUUUGAAAAUUUUAGAAAAAAAUUUAAAGAAAAAAGAUAGUCACACAUAAAAUACUAUUCAUAUUUUAUCAUCUAAUAGCAAUAAAAAUACUAAUCAUAAUUUUUUUCAAAUAAAACGAACGGUCAAACGUUGAACGUGAAUAAUACAAAACUGCAUUUAUUUUGGGACAGAGGGAGUAUAUGCCAGUAUACAUAAUGAAUGCAAUUGUCUUCAUUCAGACAUUCCCUGCAUGUUUCGCACAAAACAAAUACAUUACUAUCCAUUUCAGAAUACAAUUUGGAUUUUUUUUAUGAAAGAAACAAAAACCAUGCGAACACAUGAACAUGCUUCAACAUUCUUUCUAUCUUGUCUAACCUUCAAAAUUAUGUAUAGAUGAAUGGCAGAAUGAUUUGUAAUAAUUAUUUGAGGGUAUGAAUGAAUUAGUUAAAUAUUAUAGAGCUAAAAAAUGAAUUUAGAAGAAUUUACUAAGAAAAAUCCAUGUCUAGAGAGUUUUUUUUUUUUGCGAUCGUACCAUUUAUGAGCUCAUAAAGCUUGCAUAUUAUAUGAAGUCUCAUCCAUGUGAUAUAUGUCAUGCAUGUGCCGAAAUAAUUCACCAUGACAAAACCUCUUUGGCUUCCUUUGGGUUGAAAAUCCAUGGGGAUACUUAAGGAUACAGAUAUCAGAAUUUUCCCUACUUUGGUAGUUAGGAACAUAAUAUUAAAAUUAAAAAAUAAUGUUUUCUCUAUGCCUCAAUUCCAUAUGGAAAAUAGAGGAGAGUUCAAAUCUAUUUUUUUUUACUUCAGAAGUCCACGGUUCUUCUCUCUCUAGCACCAACCCCCACCCCCAAACCCACAUACCCUCGGAUUCAUCAAAUUCAUAUAUAAGCCACUAAACAAAAUAUUUUUCAAAUUCCUGUAUUUUGAAUCUCUGCAGGAUUUGCUUGUAAUUUUUUAAUAAUAUAAAUGUAUUACAUAUCGGCCACACAUAGCUAAUAAGUUCUCUAACUAAAUAAAAAAACACAAGAUGAUCGGUAAAAUUUCCCAACUACCCUUAGAGCACCACAUGAUCUGCAAGUACAAAACAUUUCAAUUAUGCAUUGUAUUUCUUUAUUUUUAAAAUCCUACUCCAUCCGUUUCAUAUUAUAAACCGUUUUUAAUCUUUGAUCAAGUUUAUAAAAAAAUAUAGCAACAUUUAUAGCACCAAAUUGGUUUUAGUACAUCUAGCACUAAACUUAUUUUUUAUAGUUUCUUUGUUUUAUGCUGAAAGUAUUGCUAUAUUUUUCUAUAAAUUUGUUAAAACUAAAAGUUUGAUUUAAAAAAGUUAAAAUAACUUAUAAUAUGGAACAUGAAUAGAAAUUUGAUCACCAUAUCUCGUUUAAUGUUGAAUUUUCAGGUGGGUUGACGCAGAUGGAAUCGUUCCUGCAGGCGUUCUUCCCGGAGGUCCUGCGGAAGAUGUCCAGCGCGAAGCAGGACGCGUACUGCAUCUUCGACAGCCAGGUGCUCAACGCCUUCGUCUCCUCCUUCUACCUCUCCACCAUGGUCGCCAGCCUUGUCGCCGGCCACCUAACCAAGACGCUGGGGAGGAGGAACUCGCUGCUGAUCGCCGGCGUGCUCUUCUUCGCCGGCACCCUCCUCAACCUGGCCGCCGUGAACAUCAGCAUGCUCAUCAUCGGCCGCAUCCUCCUCGGCGUCGCCGUCGGCUUCAGCAGCUUGGUGAUCGAUCACUGACCAGCCAAUUAAUACGUUCUUGCACACACAUACAUUUAUUUUUUUUUUGUAGGACGUGAAGUGUUCAUGGUGUUUGUGUUUGUUGCUUUCGUCGUCGCAGGC